This 448-nucleotide ribosomal RNA is filed under the name uncultured bacterium. RNAcentral's name for it is "partial 16S ribosomal RNA". It matches the Rfam family "Bacterial small subunit ribosomal RNA", at positions 329 to 793 of the family's 1533-position model. The record is from RNAcentral.
CACCAGACUCCUACGGGAGGCAGCAGUGGGGGAUAUUGCACAAUGGGGGGAACCCUGAUGCAGCGACGCCGCGUGGGUGAAGGAGUAUUUCGGUAUGUAAAGCCCUAUCGGCAGGGAAGAAGCAAGACGGUACCUGACUAAGAAGCCCCGGCUAACUACGUGCCAGCAGCCGCGGUAAUACGUAGGGGGCGAGCGUUAUCCGGAUUUACUGGGUGUAAAGGGGGCGCAGACGGCGAUGCAAGCCAGGAGUGAAAGCCCGGGGCCCAACCCCGGGACUGCUCUUGGAACUGCGUGGCUGGAGUGCAGGAGGGGCAGGCGGAAUUCCUGGUGUAGCGGUGAAAUGCGUAGAUAUCAGGAGGAACACCGGUGGCGAAGGCGGCCUGCUGGACUGCAACUGACGUUGAGGCCCGAAAGCGUGGGGAGCAAACAGGAUUAGAUACCCGAGUAU